This 509-nucleotide unclassified non-coding RNA is filed under the name Hevea brasiliensis (rubber tree). Lineage: Eukaryota; Viridiplantae; Streptophyta; Magnoliopsida; Malpighiales; Euphorbiaceae. The record is from RNAcentral.
GCAGGAUGCGGCCACAUCCUCUUCAUCUUCCUCGAAGUAUAGAGCAAACCAGCAGGCUAAGAAUAUAUCAAAAAACACUCCUUAGCCUGCAGUGCAGCAGCUAUAGAAUCCUUGAUUGAUGCACAAGUGAGACCUUGUUAUAUAAGAGGUCUCGUAAUGGUAGAUGUGGAUAACUAUUGACAUCAAACAAAGAGGAAAACUGUACAGAGGGAAGAUAACUCCCUAAAUUUCGCCACCAUUUCAACUCCCGGAAGGCGCAAGCGCCUUUUCUUGGGUGGCUCUUAAGCUCACAGGGAUAGGGUGUUUCGGGAUUGGAGCUGGUACUGUGACGGUAUUGGGCGUGUGAACCUGCUCUUGCCCUGGAUUUCUUGUGUAAUUGAAAGAGAGGUCUUUGUUAGCUGCAAGAGCCAUCAGCUCCGAUUCUUCCAGCCCCUUUGCUGGACCGAGGCUGCAGCGAUCGGUUGUGUGCUUGGCCAGGGCAUCUCUGAAUUUCUUGAUAGUUGCAUUAG